UAAGUAGGGUGCGAGCGUUAAUCGGAAUUACUGGGCGUAAAGCGUGCGCAGGCGGUUUCGUAAGACAGGUGUGAAAUCCCCGGGCUUAACCUGGGAACUGCGUUUGUGACUGCGAGACUCGAGUGUGGCAGAGGGGGGUGGAAUUCCACGUGUAGCAGUGAAAUGCGUAGAGAUGUGGAGGAACACCGAUGGCGAAGGCAGCCCCCUGGGUUAACACUGACGCUCAUGCACGAAAGCGUGGGUAGCAAACAGG
This 253-nucleotide ribosomal RNA is filed under the name uncultured bacterium. Its description in RNAcentral is "partial 16S ribosomal RNA". It matches the Rfam family "Bacterial small subunit ribosomal RNA", at positions 524 to 776 of the family's 1533-position model. The record is from RNAcentral.